ACACUGUUCAUGGGUUACCGCGGCUGCUGGCACGGAGUUACGCCGGUGCUUCUUCUGUACGAGUGACUGUCCUUCCUGCCGGCUAUUAACCCGCAGGCCUUCUUCCUCACUGAAAGUGACUUUACAACCCGAAGGCCUUCUUCACACACGCGGCAUGGCUGGAUCAGGGUUGCCCCCAUUGUCCAAUAUUCCCCACGUGCUGCCUCCCGUAGGAGUCUGGGCCGUGUCUCAGUCCCAGUGUGGCUGAUCAUCCUCUCAGACCAGCUACGGAUCGUCGCCUUGGUGAGCCGUUACCUCACCAACCAGCUAAUCCGACAUAGGCUCAUCCGAUAGCGCGAGGCCCGAAGGUCCCCCGNUUUCCCCCGUAGGGCGUAUGCGGUAUUAGGCCUGGGUUUCCCCAGGUUAUCCCCGACUACCGGGCAGAUUCCAUGCAUUACUCACCCGUCCGCCGCUCGCCACCAGGGAGCAAGCUCCCCGUGCUGCCGCUCGACUUGCAUGUGUUAGGCC
Molecule: ribosomal RNA, 507 nt
Filed under: uncultured bacterium
Lineage: Bacteria
Description: partial 16S ribosomal RNA
Source: RNAcentral